GGUCGUGCACGCCCGAGCGCUCUCACACAAUCCAUCUCACCCCUUGUGCAUCACCGCGUGGGUCCCCCCUUGCGGGAGGGCUCGCGUUUUUACAUAAAACUCGAUACAGUCUGGGAUGUUUUAUUUUUGCGUUCACACGCAAUCAAUACAACUUUCAACAACGGAUCUCUUGGCUCUCGCAUCGAUGAAGAACGCAGCGAAAUGCGAUACGUAAUGUGAAUUGCAGAAUUCAGUGAAUCAUCGAAUCUUUGAACGCACCUUGCGCCCCUUGGCAUUCCGAGGGGCACACCCGUUUGAGUGUCGUGAAAUUCUCAAAACCCUUUUCUUUGAUCGGAAUAGGACUUUUGGACUUGGAGGUUCAAUGCUCGCUUUCGCCUUUGAAAGCGAGCUCCUCUCAAAUGAAUUAGUGGGGUCCGCUUUGCUGAUCCUUGACGUGAUAAGAUGUUCUACG
Molecule: ribosomal RNA, 451 nt
Filed under: uncultured Russula
Lineage: Eukaryota; Fungi; Basidiomycota; Agaricomycetes; Russulales; Russulaceae
Description: eukaryotic LSU rRNA
Rfam family: 5.8S ribosomal RNA (bases 150-303)
Source: RNAcentral